RNAcentral lists this ribosomal RNA (853 nucleotides) under Nectria pseudotrichia. RNAcentral's name for it is "LSU rRNA". It matches the Rfam family "Eukaryotic large subunit ribosomal RNA", at positions 81 to 965 of the family's 3401-position model. The record is from RNAcentral. Lineage: Eukaryota; Fungi; Ascomycota; Sordariomycetes; Hypocreales; Nectriaceae.
UAGUAACGGCGAGUGAAGCGGCAACAGCUCAAAUUUGAAAUCUGGCCCUCGUGGUCCGAGUUGUAAUUUGUAGAGGAUGCUUUUGGUUAGGUGCCUUCCGAGUUCCCUGGAACGGGACGCCAUAGAGGGUGAGAGCCCCGUCUGGUUGGAUACCGAGCCUCUGUAAAGCUCCUUCGACGAGUCGAGUAGUUUGGGAAUGCUGCUCUAAAUGGGAGGUAUAUGUCUUCUAAAGCUAAAUAUUGGCCAGAGACCGAUAGCGCACAAGUAGAGUGAUCGAAAGAUGAAAAGCACUUUGAAAAGAGGGUUAAAAAGUACGUGAAAUUGUUGAAAGGGAAGCGCUUGUGACCAGACUUGGGCCCGGUCAAUCAUCCAGGGUUCUCCCUGGUGCACUUGGCCGGCCCAGGCCAGCAUCAGUUUGUCGCGGGGGAUAAAGGCGUUGGGAAUGUGGCUCCUCCGGGAGUGUUAUAGCCCUUCGUGUAAUACCCUGCUUCGGACUGAGGUUCGCGCAUCUGCAAGGAUGCUGGCGUAAUGGUCAUCAGCGACCCGUCUUGAAACACGGACCAAGGAGUCGUCUUCGUAUGCGAGUGUUCGGGUGUCAAACCCCUACGCGUAAUGAAAGUGAACGCAGGUGAGAGCUUCGGCGCAUCAUCGACCGAUCCUGAUGUUCUCGGAUGGAUUUGAGUAAGAGCAUACGGGGCCGGACCCGAAAGAAGGUGAACUAUGCCUGUAUAGGGUGAAGCCAGAGGAAACUCUGGUGGAGGCUCGCAGCGGUUCUGACGUGCAAAUCGAUCGUCAAAUAUGGGCAUGGGGGCGAAAGACUAAUCGAACCUUCUAGUAGCUGGUUUCCGCCGAA